Molecule: ribosomal RNA, 813 nt
Filed under: uncultured bacterium
Lineage: Bacteria
Description: SSU rRNA
Rfam family: Bacterial small subunit ribosomal RNA
Source: RNAcentral
UUACACAUGCAGUCGAGCGGCAGCGCGGGGCAACCUGGCGGCGAGCGGCGAACGGGUGAGUAACACAUCGGAACGUACCCAAUCGUGGGGGAUAACUAUCCGAAAGGAUAGCUAAUACCGCAUAAGUCCUGAGGGAGAAAGCAGGGGAUCGCAAGACCUUGCGCGGAUGGAGCGGCCGAUGUCGGAUUAGCUAGUUGGUGGGGUAAAGGCCUACCAAGGCGACGAUCCGUAGCUGGUCUGAGAGGACGACCAGCCACACUGGAACUGAGACACGGUCCAGACUCCUACGGGAGGCAGCAGUGGGGAAUUUUGGACAAUGGGCGCAAGCCUGAUCCAGCCAUUCCGCGUGAGUGAAGAAGGCCUUCGGGUUGUAAAGCUCUUUCGGCAGGGAAGAAACGGUGCGGGCUAAUACCUCGUGCUAAUGACGGUACCUGAAGAAGAAGCACCGGCUAACUACGUGCCAGCAGCCGCGGUAAUACGUAGGGUGCGAGCGUUAAUCGGAAUUACUGGGCGUAAAGCGUGCGCAGGCGGUUUUGUAAGACAGAUGUGAAAUCCCCGGGCUUAACCUGGGAACUGCGUUUGUGACUGCAAGACUCGAGUACGGCAGAGGGGGGUGGAAUUCCACGUGUAGCAGUGAAAUGCGUAGAGAUGUGGAGGAACACCGAUGGCGAAGGCAGCCCCCUGGGUCGAUACUGACGCUCAUGCACGAAAGCGUGGGGAGCAAACAGGAUUAGAUACCCUGGUAGUCCACGCCCUAAACGAUGCCAACUAGGUGUUGGAGAAGGAGACUUCUUUAGUACCGUAGCUAACGCG